CAGUGCUAAAGCUGUCUGCAGUGGUUCACAUAAAGACUGAACACACCUAAUGGAAAAUAACACAACUCUGUCACCUGUGCCUCUCAAAGCACCCGAAAAACAGACGUACAUCUCUACUACAGACUAAUUUGGAAACAGCUAGGCUGGAUGCCUGACUGAAAGUGCAGGACAGAAUUUCCCCUCAACUGACCACUUCAGAGCAACAACAGGAAAAAAAAGUCCAUGAGAACUAGGUAAGUUUCCAUUCCCAAACUAACUGCGGAGGAGGAAGAUCUUCCUGUUGCAUUUAUACUGUUUUAAUCAAUUUCAUGUUUUCUCCCACUACAGAAGUGAAUGUGCUGCUUCAGUGAUUUGAACAUUUACAAAGCCAAAGCAGCCCAGGGUACUUUAAUCUUUUUGUGGCCCCUCCUUCCUCCUCCUUUCUUUGUUUGGGGACAGUGUGUUAAAAGAAACGCAGUGGAGUGUCCUGAGGAUAACUCUAUUGGAAAUUUAGUUACUACAUACUACUUAGUUUGCUUUCUGACUCCUGACAGCCUGAACCAGAGAUGCACAUGAGCCACAACAGAAUGCAACAAUCAGUGUCUCCUUUGGGGCAGUAUGUAAAUUUACAAAUAAAUCUAAAAUGUGAUUAAAAUUUCUUAAGCA
Molecule: long non-coding RNA, 645 nt
Filed under: Parus major (Great Tit)
Lineage: Eukaryota; Metazoa; Chordata; Aves; Passeriformes; Paridae
Description: lncRNA (ENSPMJG00000016867.1)
Source: RNAcentral